Molecule: ribosomal RNA, 252 nt
Filed under: uncultured bacterium
Lineage: Bacteria
Description: partial 16S ribosomal RNA
Rfam family: Bacterial small subunit ribosomal RNA
Source: RNAcentral
UACGGAGGGGGCUAGCGUUAUCCGGAAUUACUGGGCGUAAAGGGUGCGUAGGUGGUUUCUUAAGUCAGAGGUGAAAGGCUACGGCUCAACCGUAGUAAGCCUUUGAAACUGGGGAACUUGAGUGCAGGAGAGGAGAGUGGAAUUCCUAGUGUAGCGGUGAAAUGCGUAGAUAUUAGGAGGAACACCAGUUGCGAAGGCGGCUCUCUGGACUGUAACUGACACUGAGGCACGAAAGCGUGGGGAGCAAACAGG